RNAcentral lists this long non-coding RNA (273 nucleotides) under Vicia faba (fava bean). Lineage: Eukaryota; Viridiplantae; Streptophyta; Magnoliopsida; Fabales; Fabaceae. The record is from RNAcentral.
AUGACAAAGUUAGGAAGAAUUCUUCUUAUAGUGUGUGCUUUGUUUUCUCUAAUGAGUCACACUUUGGGAUCUCGUGCACCUAUUAGAGGGUAUAUAGAUGAUAUUGGUCGCUUUUGUCCAAAAAGUUUGAAUGUGCCAGGAAAGUGUAGUGAUUUUCGAACAUGUUGGGAUGAAGUCAAUGAUGCAGUUGGAGCUAGUGGCAUGACUCAUCAAUGUACUUGUCAAGACCUUGCACAAAAUAAACGUCUUUGCACUUGUUUAGUUAAAUGUUAA